RNAcentral lists this ribosomal RNA (253 nucleotides) under uncultured bacterium. RNAcentral describes it as "partial 16S ribosomal RNA". It matches the Rfam family "Bacterial small subunit ribosomal RNA", at positions 524 to 776 of the family's 1533-position model. The record is from RNAcentral.
UACAGAGGGUGCGAGCGUUGUUCGGAUUCAUUGGGCGUAAAGGGUGCGUAGGUGGCGCCGUAAGUCAGGUGUGAAAUCUCGGGGCUCAACCCCGAAACUGCACUUGAUACUGCGGUGCUCGAGUACUGGAGAGGAGAUUGGAAUUUACGGUGUAGCAGUGAAAUGCGUAGAUAUCGUAAGGAAGACCAGUGGCGAAGGCGAAUCUCUGGACAGUUACUGACACUGAGGCACGAAGGCCAGGGGAGCAAACGGG